ACUAUAGUAUUGACCUCAAUCCACAUGUAUUGAGGUGGAUUGAUGUGACACCUCAAUCCACCUCAAUACAUGUGGAUUGAGGUCAAUACUAUA
Non-coding RNA from Zea mays, 93 nucleotides. Lineage: Eukaryota; Viridiplantae; Streptophyta; Magnoliopsida; Poales; Poaceae. The record is from Rfam.